CCUACGGGAGGCAGCAGUGAGGCAUAUUGGUCAAUGGACGAGAGUCUGAACCAGCCAAGUAGCGUGAAGGAUGACUGCCCUAUGGGUUGUAAACUUCUUUUAUAAAGGACUAAAACGAUGCACGUGUGCCUGUUUGCAUGUCCUUUAUGAAUAAGUAUCGGCUAACUCCUUCCCAGCAGCCCCGGUAAUACGGAGAAUCAGAGCGUUAUCCGGAUUUAUUGGUGUUAAGGGGAGCUUAGAUGGGUUGUUAAGUCAGUUGUGAAUGUUUGCGGAUCAACCGGAAAAUUGCAAUUGAUACUGGCAGUCUUGAGUACAGUUGAGGUAGGAGGAAUGUGUGGUGUAGCGGUGAAAUGCUUAGAUAUCACGAAGAACCCCGAUUGCGAAGGCAGCUUACUAAACUGUGACUGACAUUGAUGCUCGAAAGUGUGGGUAUCAAACAGGAUUAGAUACCCGAGUAGUC
This 460-nucleotide ribosomal RNA is filed under the name uncultured bacterium. Its description in RNAcentral is "partial 16S ribosomal RNA". It matches the Rfam family "Bacterial small subunit ribosomal RNA", at positions 338 to 795 of the family's 1533-position model. The record is from RNAcentral.